GGUUGAACUCCUUUGAUGAAGCUUUUGUUGGCACCAUAAAUUGGUUUUGCUUCACACUGUCUUGAUCAAAAGUGUGUGAAGCUUUUGAGAAUUGUGGUUGCCCUCCAUUGAUGAAGCUCUUGUUGGCACCAUAAAUUGGUUUUGCUUCACACUGUCUUGAUCAAGAGUGUGUGAAGCUUUUGAGAAUUGUGGUUGCCUUCCUUUGAUGAAGCUCUUGUUGGCACCAUAAAUUGGUUUUGCUUCACACUGUCUUGAUCAAGAGUGUGUGAAGCUUUUGAGAAUUGUGGUUGCCCCCUAUUGAUGAAGCUCUUGUUGGCACCAUAAAUUGGUUUUGCUUCACACUGUCUUGAUCAAGAGUGUGUGUGAAGCUUUCUACGAGUUGUAGUGUUUGCAUUGUUACAGAGGGGAAA
Molecule: long non-coding RNA, 410 nt
Filed under: Malus domestica (apple)
Lineage: Eukaryota; Viridiplantae; Streptophyta; Magnoliopsida; Rosales; Rosaceae
Description: long non-coding RNA (MDOM_LNC017093)
Source: RNAcentral